Molecule: transfer RNA, 71 nt
Filed under: Bos taurus (domestic cattle)
Lineage: Eukaryota; Metazoa; Chordata; Mammalia; Artiodactyla; Bovidae
Also listed under: 2 other names
Rfam family: tRNA
About the family: Transfer RNA (tRNA) molecules are approximately 80 nucleotides in length. Their secondary structure includes four short double-helical elements and three loops (D, anti-codon, and T loops). Further hydrogen bonds mediate the characteristic L-shaped molecular structure. tRNAs have two regions of fundamental functional importance: the anti-codon, which is responsible for specific mRNA codon recognition, and the 3' end, to which the tRNAs corresponding amino acid is attached (by aminoacyl-tRNA synthetases). tRNAs cope with the degeneracy of the genetic code in two manners: having more than one tRNA (with a specific anti-codon) for a particular amino acid; and 'wobble' base-pairing, i.e. permitting non-standard base-pairing at the 3rd anti-codon position.
Source: Rfam by way of RNAcentral
UCUCAGGUGGCUCAGUGGUAAAGAGUCUGCCUGCAAUGCAGGAGAUGCAGGUUCAAUCCCUGGAUGGGGAA